RNAcentral lists this ribosomal RNA (408 nucleotides) under uncultured bacterium. RNAcentral's name for it is "partial 16S ribosomal RNA". It matches the Rfam family "Bacterial small subunit ribosomal RNA", at positions 28 to 526 of the family's 1533-position model. The record is from RNAcentral.
GACGAACGCUGGCGGCGUGCUUAACACAUGCAAGUCGAACGAAGUCGCGAACGGGUGAGUAACGCGUAAUCAACCUGCCCUUCAGAGGGGGACAACAGUUGGAACCGACUGCUAAUACCGCCUACUGACGGAGGGGAUUGCGUCGGAUUAGCUAGUUGGAGGGGUAACGGCCCACCAAGGCGAUGAUCAGUAGCCGGUCUGAGAGGGUGAACGGCCAAAUUGGGACUGAGGCCCGGCCCAGGCUCCGUCGGGAAGCAGCAGUGGGGAAUCUUCCGCAAUGGACGAAAGUCUGACGGAGCAACGCCGCGGGAGUGAUGACGGCCUUCGGGUUGGAAAGCUCUGUUAAUCGGGGCGCGGUACCGGAAUAGAAAGCCACGGCUAACUACGUGCCAGCAGCCGCGGUAAUUC